This 66-nucleotide transfer RNA is filed under the name Abrus yunshanensis. Its description in RNAcentral is "tRNA-Glu". Lineage: Eukaryota; Metazoa; Arthropoda; Insecta; Hemiptera; Cicadellidae. The record is from RNAcentral.
CUUUAUAUAGUUUAGACUAAAACAUUUUAUUUUCAUUAAAAAAAAGACUAGUUAAGUCUAUAAAUG